GAUUAUGGCUCAGGAUGAACGCUGGCGGCGUGCCUAACACAUUCAAGUCGAACGAACUGUAGAAAUACAGUGAGUGGCGGACGGGUGAGUAACGCGUAAGCAAUCUGCCUUUGUGUGUGGAAUAACAACCGGAAACAGUUGCUAAUACCGCAUAACGCAUAGGAGUCGCAUGGCUCUUAUGCCAAAGAUUUAUCGCACGAAGAUGAGCUUGCGUCCGAUUAGAUAGUUGGCGGGGUAACGGCCCACCAAGUCUACGAUCGGUAGCCGGACUGAGAGGUUGAACGGCCACAUUGGAACUGAGAUACGGUCCAGACUCCUACGGGAGGCAGCAGUGGGGAAUAUUGGGCAAUGGACGAAAGUCCUGACCCAGCGACGCCGCGUGAGGGAAGAAGGUCUUCGGAUUGUAAACCUUAGUCAACAGGGACGAAGCAAGUGACGGUACCUGUGAAGGAAGCCACGGCUAACUACGUGCCAGCCGCCGC
Molecule: ribosomal RNA, 482 nt
Filed under: uncultured bacterium
Lineage: Bacteria
Description: bacterial SSU rRNA
Rfam family: Bacterial small subunit ribosomal RNA
Source: RNAcentral